AUCUAAGCGUGAAACUCCCUCUAAGAUUAGAUCUCUCAUCCUUUAUGGAGUAAGGCUCGACGUAGACUAUGUCGUUGAUAGGUCGGAGGUGGAAGCGCUGUGAGGCGUGCAGCUGACCGAUACUAAUUAGCCGAGGGCUUGACCUACAA
This 149-nucleotide ribosomal RNA is filed under the name Pseudoflavonifractor capillosus. RNAcentral describes it as "partial 23S ribosomal RNA". It matches the Rfam family "Bacterial large subunit ribosomal RNA", at positions 2779 to 2925 of the family's 2925-position model. The record is from RNAcentral. Lineage: Bacteria; Bacillati; Bacillota; Clostridia; Eubacteriales; Oscillospiraceae.